RNAcentral lists this ribosomal RNA (399 nucleotides) under uncultured bacterium. Its description in RNAcentral is "bacterial SSU rRNA". It matches the Rfam family "Bacterial small subunit ribosomal RNA", at positions 356 to 773 of the family's 1533-position model. The record is from RNAcentral.
GGGGGAUAUUGCACAAUGGAGGAAACUCUGAUGCAGCGACGCCGCGUGAGUGAAGAAGGCCUUCGGGUCGUAAAGCUCUGUCCUAGGGGAAGAUAAUGACGGUACCCUAGGAGGAAGCCCCGGCUAACUACGUGCCAGCAGCCGCGGUAAUACGUAGGGGGCGAGCGUUGUCCGGAAUUACUGGGCGUAAAGAGUUCGUAGGCGGUCUGAUAAGUCAGAUGUGAAAGGCGUAGGCUUAACCUAUGUAAGCAUAUGAAACUGUCAGACUUGAGGUAAGGAGAGGAAAGUGGAAUUCCUAGUGUAGCGGUGAAAUGCGUAGAUAUUAGGAGGAAUACCAGUGGCGAAGGCGACUUUCUGGACUUAAACUGACGCUGAGGAACGAAAGCGUGGGGAGCAAAC